AAGAAGGUGACAGAAGGGCUAUGUGUCUGGCUUGAGUCCAGAAUAUGGGGGUUCGAUUCCUCCCUUUCUUG
This 71-nucleotide transfer RNA is filed under the name Phrynobatrachus keniensis (Kenya river frog). Its description in RNAcentral is "tRNA-Ser". It matches the Rfam family "tRNA". From Rfam's summary of the family: Transfer RNA (tRNA) molecules are approximately 80 nucleotides in length. Lineage: Eukaryota; Metazoa; Chordata; Amphibia; Anura; Phrynobatrachidae. The record is from RNAcentral.